UACGUAGGGGGCUAGCGUUGUCCGGAUUUAUUGGGCGUAAAGAGCGUGUAGGCGGCCAUGUAGGUCCGGUGUGAAAACUCGAGGCUUAACCUCGAGAUGUCAUCGGAAACCAUUUGGCUAGAGUCCGGAAGAGGAGAGUGGAAUUCCUGGUGUAGCGGUGGAAUGCGCAGAUAUCAGGAGGAACACCGGUGGCGAAGGCGGGUCUCUGGGCCGAUACUGACGCUGAGGAGCGAAAGCGUGGGGAGCGAACAGG
This 253-nucleotide ribosomal RNA is filed under the name uncultured bacterium. Its description in RNAcentral is "partial 16S ribosomal RNA". It matches the Rfam family "Bacterial small subunit ribosomal RNA", at positions 524 to 776 of the family's 1533-position model. The record is from RNAcentral.